GCCGGUGUAGCUCAAUUGGUAGAGCAACUGACUUGUAAUCAGGAGGUUGGAGGUUCGAGUCCUCUCGCCGGCACCA
This 76-nucleotide transfer RNA is filed under the name Calditerricola satsumensis. RNAcentral describes it as "tRNA-Thr". It matches the Rfam family "tRNA". From Rfam's summary of the family: Transfer RNA (tRNA) molecules are approximately 80 nucleotides in length. Their secondary structure includes four short double-helical elements and three loops (D, anti-codon, and T loops). Lineage: Bacteria; Bacillati; Bacillota; Bacilli; Caryophanales; Bacillaceae. RNAcentral also lists the same sequence under 2 other names. The record is from RNAcentral.